RNAcentral lists this ribosomal RNA (497 nucleotides) under uncultured bacterium. RNAcentral's name for it is "partial 16S ribosomal RNA". It matches the Rfam family "Bacterial small subunit ribosomal RNA", at positions 28 to 507 of the family's 1533-position model. The record is from RNAcentral.
GAUGAACGCUGGCGGCGUGCCUAAUACAUGCAAGUCGAGCGAACAGACGAGGAGCUUGCUCCUCUGACGUUAGCGGCGGACGGGUGAGUAACACGUGGAUAACCUACCUAUAAGACUGGGAUAACUUCGGGAAACCGGAGCUAAUACCGGAUAAUAUAUUGAACCGCAUGGUUCAAUAGUGAAAGACGGUUUUGCUGUCACUUAUAGAUGGAUCCGCGCCGCAUUAGCUAGUUGGUAAGGUAACGGCUUACCAAGGCAACGAUGCGUAGCCGACCUGAGAGGGUGAUCGGCCACACUGGAACCGAGACACGGUCCAGACUCCUACGGGAGGCAGCAGUAGGGAAUCUUCCGCAAUGGGCGAAAGCUUGACGGGGCAACGCCGCGUGAGUGAUGAAGGUCUUCGGAUCGUAAAACUCUGUUAUUAGGGAAGAACAAAUGUGUAAGUAACUAUGCACGUCUUGACGGUACCUAAUCAGAAAGCCACGGCUAACUACGUG